UACGGGGGGGGCAAGCGUUGUUCGGAAUUACUGGGCGUAAAGGGCUCGUAGGUGGCCAACUAAGUCAGACGUGAAAUCCCCAGGCUCAACUUGGGAACUGCGUCUGAUACUGGAUGGCUUGAGUUCGGGAGAGGGAUUCGGAAUUCCAGGUGUAGCGGUGAAAUGCGCAGAUAUCAGGAGGAACACCGGUGGCGAAGGCGGGUCUCUGGGCCGAUACUGACGCUGAGGAGCGAAAGCGUGGGGAGCGAACAGG
This 253-nucleotide ribosomal RNA is filed under the name uncultured bacterium. Its description in RNAcentral is "partial 16S ribosomal RNA". It matches the Rfam family "Bacterial small subunit ribosomal RNA", at positions 524 to 776 of the family's 1533-position model. The record is from RNAcentral.